AGAGUUUGAUCCUGGCUCAGAUUGAACGCUGGCGGCAGGCCUAACACAUGCAAGUCGAGCGGUAGCACAGAGAGCUUGCUCUCGGGUGACGAGCGGCGGACGGGUGAGUAAUGUCUGGGAAACUGCCUGAUGGAGGGGGAUAACUACUGGAAACGGUAGCUAAUACCGCAUAACGUCGCAAGACCAAAGAGGGGGACCUUCGGGCCUCUUGCCAUCAGAUGUGCCCAGAUGGGAUUAGCUAGUAGGUGGGGUAACGGCUCACCUAGGCGACGAUCCCUAGCUGGUCUGAGAGGAUGACCAGCCACACUGGAACUGAGACACGGUCCAGACUCCUACGGGAGGCAGCAGUGGGGAAUAUUGCACAAUGGGCGCAAGCCUGAUGCAGCCAUGCCGCGUGUAUGAAGAAGGCCUUCGGGUUGUAAAGUACUUUCAGCGGGGAGGAAGGUGUUGAGGUUAAUAACCUCAGCAAUUGACGUUACCCGCAGAAGAAGCACCGGCUAACUCCGUGCCAGCAGCCGCGGUAAUACGGAGGGUGCAAGCGUUAACCGGAAUUACUGGGCGUAAAGCGCACGCAGGCGGUCUGUCAAGUCGGAUGUGAAAUCCCCGGGCUCAACCUGGGAACUGCAUUCGAAACUGGCAGGCUAGAGUCUUGUAGAGGGGGGUAGAAUUCCAGGUGUAGCGGUGAAAUGCGUAGAGAUCUGGAGGAAUACCGGUGGCGAAGGCGGCCCCCUGGACAA
RNAcentral lists this ribosomal RNA (737 nucleotides) under Enterobacter sp. CG1. Its description in RNAcentral is "bacterial SSU rRNA". It matches the Rfam family "Bacterial small subunit ribosomal RNA", at positions 8 to 736 of the family's 1533-position model. Lineage: Bacteria; Pseudomonadati; Pseudomonadota; Gammaproteobacteria; Enterobacterales; Enterobacteriaceae. The record is from RNAcentral.